Molecule: ribosomal RNA, 423 nt
Filed under: uncultured eukaryote
Lineage: Eukaryota
Description: bacterial SSU rRNA
Rfam family: Eukaryotic small subunit ribosomal RNA
Source: RNAcentral
CAAUAGCGUAUAUUAAAGUUGUUGUGGUUAAAAAGCUCGUAGUUGGAUCUCGGCGGUCUGAGGGCGGUUCGCUUCAGAGCGCUACUGCCCUAUAGACCGUAGUUUUGCCAGAGGUCUCAGGGUGCUCUUAACCGAGUGUCUUGCGAUGCUGGCAGGUUUACUUUGAAAAAUUAGAGUGUUCAAAGCAGGCCUCGGCAGCCUGAAUAAUGGUGCAUGGAAUAAUGGAAUAGGACCUCGGUUCUAUUUUGUUGGUUUUCGGAACGGAGGUAAUGAUUAACAGGGACAAACGGGGGCAUUCGUAUUGCGGCGUUAGAGGUGAAAUUCUUGGAUCGCCGCAAGACGAGCUACUGCGAAAGCAUUUGUCAAGAAUGUUUUCAUUAGUCAAGAACGAAAGUCAGAGGCGCGAAGACGAUCAGAUACCAU